Lampris incognitus (smalleye Pacific opah) is the source of this 1544-nucleotide long non-coding RNA. RefSeq lists it as uncharacterized. Lineage: Eukaryota; Metazoa; Chordata; Actinopteri; Lampriformes; Lampridae. The record is from RefSeq and is a predicted model, not a curated record. The transcript is spliced from 3 exons.
CAUUAAAGGAAAAUUCCGUUAUUUUUUUUUAUUUUUACAACCUUGGUUUUAUUUUCAGUUUGCGCCAUUGUGCAUAUCCGUUAUGAUAUCCUCUCACUCAUCGGCUUAAUUUUUGCCGAUUUUGGACCACCGCUGGGCACAGCUUUGCAAUGGUGUCUCACGGGGCGAUCGAACACAAGUCUUAAAACUGUUCUUUCAACAACUACAACAACAGCAAAGACUCGGUGCCUCGGUUAGACUGCGUACAUGAUGUCCCAUGACUUCUCCAUUGUGCUGGCUGGGUGGUUUGUGGAUGAUUACUACUCCCCACGAUAAGUGGAUUAAAUUGAACUCGAUGAAAAAUGUGCGACGCUGGUGUUCCCUUGCCACAUAAGAGGCCGUCGUAAAGCCGCAUCCAGCAGCGGUCCUGUCGCCAAAAUCUCUACAACGAAGCUGAUGAGGAAAAUGAUAUCAUACCUGCAAGACACCACUGCAAAAAUACUACCAAGACCCAGGUUGUCCUUUACACGCCGGUGGAGUCCGGACUGAGGCUUAUCCACCUCACCCAGAAAUUCUCCAGCGCUCCUUCAGACUAAUCCAUCCCAAUUGGCCUGGCUCGCUCUCCUGCUUUGGGAGCGAAUAGAGCUUGAUAUAUUACAGACACUAUCAACAUGGAAGCUGCUCUAUUUUUCAGGUUUCGAGCCACUUUACUUCAAGAAUGACCGAGAUAUGAUGACAUGUGUGGGAAGAUGGCGGCACGAAGUUACGUUUGUGGUGGCCUCACCCAGUACGGUCCAUGCAGUGUCUUUGUCCACGUCUAAGUUUUUGUCUUCGUUGGAUGGCUGGGAGAGCUGGCGCUGGAUCGGCCGGGGGAGCCUGAUCCGCUGUCUUGUGGGCCCAGGGACCACGGCCCUGCCUGGAGCUGCGCCCGAAGAGGAAACACCGAGGGCGGUCUGACAGGAUGCGGAAGCAAAGCGGGCUAAGCUAGCAGCUAGCCCAUGCAGACCGGCAGUUCCGAUAACACCGAGGGCGGUCUGGCGGCGGCCUUGCCUAGCGUUGACUGUGUUUUUGGUGUCACCGUUUAGAGUGCUGGUAGGUGUGUCAAAGGUGUCUGGCUGGGCGAGCUGGCGUUGAGCUGGGAGAGCCUGGUCUGCUGCAUCCGGUGGGCCCAGGGACCACGGCCGUGCCUGGAGCUGCGCCCGAAGAGGAUACACCUUGGGGGGUCUGACAGGACGCGGAAGUGGGGCAGGCGAAGCUAGCUGCUAGCCCAUGCAGACCGGCAGUUCCAACAGUAUUCCUGGUGUUCGCUUUCUCGGGCAGCGGAAUUAUUCAUUCAUUUAUUUUGGGGGGGGGGCUAUGUUUGACAUAUGUGUUUUGUUUGUUUUUUUGUAGUUUGGAUGUAGUAUGUGUUCUUGUAGUCUGGAUACGUGUGUUUGUCUUUGUGUUGCACUGCCGUGGGCUGGAGGGGAAACGAUGUGAAAUGACAAAUAAAUCAGAUUCCUGACUCCUGAAUUCACUUGGCCCGCGCUGUAUUCCAUUCCGUUAUUGACUGUAUUUAGAUCUGC